Molecule: non-coding RNA, 679 nt
Organism: Lonchura striata (white-rumped munia)
Lineage: Eukaryota; Metazoa; Chordata; Aves; Passeriformes; Estrildidae
Source: RefSeq, a predicted model, not a curated record
GUUGUUCAGGGCUGAAUUGGAAAUUUGUGAUGUUGCUGAGGUAGCCACUGAAUCAUCAUGAAUCGUCACUGAAAAAAUUUAAGCUACUGAGGAAGACAGGAAGAAAAUAUUGUUUAGCACCAAAAUAGAGCAUGCGUUUUUUUUCAUUUAUUCUCUACUGAAGAUUUUUUGUUCUGUAUACACUACUGCUGAAAUAAUAUCAGUAUCAAUUCUAUAACACCAUAAUAGAUCACCAACUGGUCAGUCUUAAGGCUUUUGAGACAAACCAGCUCAGCAAGUCUGGCAAGUUAUUUAAAGUACAUGUCACCAGAGACUUUCAAAGGAUAUGUGAACUGCCAUUUUCUGAUACCGAUAGCAGCAGUGAGGGGCAGUGAAUGACUGGCUAUGUGUGGGACUGAACUGCCUGCUGAAGUAAAUCCACAGCCACUUAGACAGGUUUAUGUGCUGAGCAUGAUACCAUAUGGUAUCCCUCUGGUUAUCUGAGGCUCAGCAGAAGGUAUAAUGCUGGAAAAAAGCACAAGGACCCUCUACUGAGCAAGUCUGGCCAGCAUGUGUCCAAUGGAAUUCAAUUUUCCAGAAAAUAUUGGGUGAAUUAAAUAUCCGUCACAUUAUAAGACAAAUAUCCACAUAAAACCAUUCUAUAUUGCUCUUAAACAAAAUACAUGAUUUUGCAGUAAAA